This is a long non-coding RNA of Diabrotica virgifera virgifera (western corn rootworm), 1407 nucleotides long. RefSeq lists it as uncharacterized. The record is from RefSeq and is a predicted model, not a curated record. Lineage: Eukaryota; Metazoa; Arthropoda; Insecta; Coleoptera; Chrysomelidae. The transcript is spliced from 2 exons.
UAUAUUAUCAUUUUUAGCGCUGUAAUUAUUUUUAAAAAAAUAAUUAUUUUCUCUUGACCUCCCAUUUAAAUUCUUUAAUUUAUCGUAAAGGACUUCUCAUGUGACGUCACACUGUACGGAACAUAGUUGUUGAACCGUUCCUUGUCGUUUAAUUCGUGUUCCGUGAGAGUUUGACGUUUUCCUCGCUGACUGUGGGAGGAAUGAGAGGCACUUGGCCGGUGGCUGCGAGGUUGACAGGUUGGUGUUGGUGGUUAGUACCGUAAAUGGCGGUUAAUUUCUUCGAAAUUAAUUUUUAUUUCAACUAAGUUUGGAAGUAUAGUAAAAAGUUACCACCACUUGUUUCCUGGAGUACGGGUUUCCUGGAGUAAGGAUGGGAGUACCAUCAGUGGAAGAGGAAUAAAAAAAUUAACCGCCAUUUGGAAGAAAACUAACCCUCAUGUGAUGUCGUACCCACCUUGACUACCUAGGGAAGCCACCUUGACCUUAUUGCAGCUACCGCCAAGUCAAACUGGGAGUAUGUUUUGGGAACAAGCUUUUUGGGGGACAUUCCAGCUCCUUUUCGUCCUGCCACCUGGGCCUACGGGGGGGCAUGGAGGUGCAUCAUAGUGAUGCUCAUUUUCUAGGAUGCAACCGCAACCUCGUUUGGGAACAUUUAGUGAGGAGUUUUAGUAACUAUUGGUUUUUUUUAUAUUUCAGACUAUCUGUUAAAUACACUAUGUUUUUUUUCCAGAUUUAGGUUACCUCUGUUUUUUUUGACAUAUGUAUUUGUAUAUUAGAUUAUUUGGUUCCCAAACUUUGUAUCUACGGUAACUUCUUGUGCACAGGAAUAAGCCUAGAGAAAAUUAGGUUUUUAAUACUUUAUUAUUGCUUUGAUAUUGGUUUAUGUAAUUCGGGUAAAUUUAUUUUGUAACAUUACUUGCUUGUUUCCCAAAUAUUGUAUUUAUUCGCUUUAUUUCGUUUGUUCGGUUACUUCGUCGUUACUUUAUUUCAUUGCAUUUGCUCGGUUAAUUUAGGUCAUUUUGUCGGUAUUUUUCUUAACUUCACUUCUAUAACGUUUAUUCAUUUGUAUAUUUAAUUUUGCUUUAUUCAGUAUUGUAUUUUCUCUUAGUGAGGCUUGGGCCUAUUUAUUUGUAUUAUUUUCAUCUUCGUCGGUUUCCUUUAGUUGUACGUAGCAGGCGUACUAUAACCAUUUGGUAGAAGACUUAUGUAAUUUUGUACCCUAUAUGUUAGUGAGAGGUACUUAUACCUGUAAUUUUCUAACAGAUAACAUUAUUGUUGUUAUCUUAGAGAUAACUUUUUGUAUAACUUAUGUCAUUUUAGAGUCACAGCAUAAUAUGAACUUGCUUAACUCAGAGAUUGUUAAAAAUCUGGUAGUUAUUUUUAAUAAAUAUGUUUAUUUAUUUUGUA